GCUCCUUAUCCCAUUCUCACUGAUUCAUCAAUCCAAGGGCUUUACUUUGCACUUUCCAUAGGAAGACUUCCCAUCAAGGGGGAAAUUUCUCCCUUAAUGGGAAAUCUUCCUAU
Molecule: non-coding RNA, 113 nt
Organism: Peromyscus maniculatus bairdii (prairie deer mouse)
Lineage: Eukaryota; Metazoa; Chordata; Mammalia; Rodentia; Cricetidae
Source: RefSeq, a predicted model, not a curated record